This 2562-nucleotide long non-coding RNA is filed under the name Olea europaea subsp. europaea. Lineage: Eukaryota; Viridiplantae; Streptophyta; Magnoliopsida; Lamiales; Oleaceae. The record is from RNAcentral.
GUAAAAUUUACAAUCGAAUGUGAAGCCCACAUAUGAAAUUAUUCCAACACCAAUCUGUCGCAAAAAUCCCUCAAGAAAUCUUGAUUCCAGGCUCAGAAAACAACAAAACGAACACCAAUUUACCUGGGUUCGACCCAAAACUUCCACACUUGGUUGCCACAAGUUUCACUCCACAAAGGAGACUACAGUGGUGGCAUAUGUAAUCCAUAAAGGAAGGAGAAAGAUGAAGGAAGACACCAAAAACACUCCAAGCUCUCUAACUCUAAAGAAAGUCGUCUGCCUCUCUUUUCUUAUCUUGUUUUCUCUCUUACAUACUACACACACCCAAAAAUACGGCUAAGAACAAAACAUAUAUAGCAAGACAUUAGGUCACUCAUAUGGAUUGGGCCACAAUCUUCUCUACAAAUGGGCUGCCACUUAAUUACAAAUAAAUGGACCUCACAAUCAAAAAACCAUCCAACCCAAACUUGGGCCAUCCAAAAGUAUAGGUCAUUUUCGAGUCGAGCCAAGUCCAUGGCGUUGAUAAAUUAUCCGAUAACUGUUUUAAAUUAUCGCUCGAAUUUAUUAGGUAUCAAAACCCAAUAAAUCUCUACCUUGAUACCCAAUAAAUCUGCAAGCAAUCAAAAUAUAAAGUUUAUACUUGCAUAACCAAGUAACCAAUAAAAUUGGUAUCACGGACCUUACCUAGCAUUUCCAACCUAAAACACAUACCAUACUUGCUCCGUGUACUCACCAGAGCUAAUAUCAAGAAUACCCAAGUAGAAGCAAAUAUUCAUAGUGAACAAUCAAGAGCAACUAAUCAUACAAUGAAGAUAUAUUAUAGGAUAACACACAUAGAUAUUUUUAGAAGCACGUUCACACAGAACUACAGAUUAACACCAAAUUAAUCAAACACACGGUCAAAUACAUACGCAAUAAAUGUUUAAAUGAUCCACGAAAAGAUCUUACGAUACUUAUCCUAUCCCAUUCCGUGAUAUUCACACCUUGAGAACAUAUAUCUACUCUCAUCGACCCACUAUGCUCACUAAAUUGAUCACUCAACUUAUGUCUAACUGUUGUUUCUCUAUUUACACCCGAUCUUUUAAGGUGUAUGUCAAGCAGUUGUACCCUACUUCGAGUUGUAACUUCCUGUGUAUGCGUCUUUGGGUUGAUUUUUGUGUUGCUUGACAAACUACCUAGUUCUCUGCUAGUCAAAACAACAUCCAUCUGUCCCAUUUGAGUCUUCAACUCUUUUUAUGCCAACUUUUUUUAUGGCGGCAUUUUGAUCUUGAAGAGUGGCUUCAAUUUUCCUCAUGAACUGAUUGUUGGCUUCCGUGUACAAACUGGUCUUUUUCAUUAAUUUUUCGAACAUUUCUUUCAGUUGAGGCUUUUUCUCUUGCUAUUGGAACUGUCCUUGUGGCCUAUUUUGAUUUUGAUUGCUCUAAGAGAAAUUAGGGUUUUUUUUUUCCAGACCAAAUUGUAUGUUUCUCCAAAAUAAAUUGUUCUGCUGGCAUUGUCCCCAUUGAGCAAAAUCUGCCUACUCUGUCCCUUGUAUUAAGAUUGGACAUUCUGCUAUUAUGUGUUCAGCUCUACAUUCCUCACAACUAACCUUCUUUGUCUGUGUUCCAUUAGCUAAUUGUGAUAUGUUUUCCACCUUGUGAAAUAGUGAAUCAAUCUUUGCAAAUAGGGCAAAAUAUGCAUCCACUUCAUAAACCCCCAGUGUCCUUUUGUGAACUUUUCGUUCUGAUGUCCACGUAGCUAAUGUAGUAGCUAUUGUCUCGAAUAGUUUCAGUGUUUCAUCAAUUGUUUUUGUGGACAACGACCCGUUAGAUGAGGAGUCAACCAUGUUUUUGAAAGUUGGAAGUAAUCCCUCGUAGAAAUAUUGGAAAUAGAGUCCCUUGCUGAUCUCGUGAUGUGGACUUUUCUGCAGCAUGUUUUUAAACCUAUUCCAGGCUUCAUCCAAGUUCUCUGAGUCGCCUUGAUGGAAAACAAGUAUGUCAUGCUUUAGCUUUGCAAUCUUGGCGGGCAGGAAUAACUUGGUGCAAAACUACUGUGCUAGAUUGUUCCAAGUAGUGAUGCUGGCGAUUGGUUGAGAGUCCAGCCAUUCUAUUACCUUCUCACGGAUAGUCUCAACAUGAUAGCAUCAUCUGAAAUUCCUUGAUAUUUGAAGUAUUCGCACAUUUCCAAGAAGCGAGAGACGUGUGUGUGUGGGUUGUCUUCAACUCUGCCGUAAAAUUGAUGUCCAUUUUGAAACAGUUGUAUCACAUUUGUCAUCAAUUGGAAAUUAGGCUGCCUAAACGAUGGAUCCACGAUGCUUAAUUGGCUUUGAAUUAUUUAGGGAGUCAUAAAGUCUCCCACAAGCAUGUUUCCUUCAUCUCCUACCCCUUUUUCAUUGGCUUGAAAAAUGGGAUUAUUUUGCACGUUCGCUAUUGUUGUUGUGCUUCCCUAGUCUCUUUGUAUUCGAUGAAAAGUUCGCUCAAUUUCUGGAUCGACUGGAAUUAGUUCUCCUCCAGUAGAUCUUAGUAUGCAAAUCUGCGAGAACAUCAAUAGUAGCACUUAGGUACUAAAAAAAUUGAAAUAAAA